AACGAACGCUGGCGGCAGGCUUAACACAUGCAAGUCGAGCGAAGACUUCGGUCUUAGCGGCGGACGGGUUAGUAACGCGUGGGAACGUGCCCUUCUCUACGGAAUAGCCCAGGGAAACUUGGAGUAAUACCGUAUACGCCCUUCGGGGGAAAGAUUUAUCGGAGAAGGAUCGGCCCGCGUUGGAUUAGGUAGUUGGUGGGGUAAUGGCCUACCAAGCCGACGAUCCAUAGCUGGUUUGAGAGGAUGAUCAGCAACACUGGGACUGAGACACGGCCCAG
RNAcentral lists this ribosomal RNA (278 nucleotides) under uncultured bacterium. RNAcentral describes it as "partial 16S ribosomal RNA". It matches the Rfam family "Bacterial small subunit ribosomal RNA", at positions 29 to 334 of the family's 1533-position model. The record is from RNAcentral.